RNAcentral lists this ribosomal RNA (253 nucleotides) under uncultured bacterium. RNAcentral describes it as "partial 16S ribosomal RNA". It matches the Rfam family "Bacterial small subunit ribosomal RNA", at positions 524 to 776 of the family's 1533-position model. The record is from RNAcentral.
UACAGAGGUCUCAAGCGUUGUUCGGAUUCAUUGGGCGUAAAGGGUGUGUAGGUGGCGCCGUAAGUCGAGUGUGAAAUCUCGGAGCUUAACUCCGAAACUGCAUUCGAUACUGCCGUGCUAGAGGACUGGAGAGGAGACUGGAAUUUACGGUGUAGCGGUGAAAUGCGUAGAUAUCGUAAGGAAGACCAGUGGCGAAGGCGGGUCUCUGGACAGUUCCUGACGCUGAGGCACGAAGGUCAGGGGAGCAAACGGG